GCAUGGGUGGUUCAGUGGUAGAAUUCUCCUCUUCUGUGUGAGAGACGCGGGUUCGAUUCCAGCCCGUGCA
This 70-nucleotide transfer RNA is filed under the name Loxodonta africana (African savanna elephant). It matches the Rfam family "tRNA". From Rfam's summary of the family: Transfer RNA (tRNA) molecules are approximately 80 nucleotides in length. Their secondary structure includes four short double-helical elements and three loops (D, anti-codon, and T loops). Further hydrogen bonds mediate the characteristic L-shaped molecular structure. tRNAs have two regions of fundamental functional importance: the anti-codon, which is responsible for specific mRNA codon recognition, and the 3' end, to which the tRNAs corresponding amino acid is attached (by aminoacyl-tRNA synthetases). tRNAs cope with the degeneracy of the genetic code in two manners: having more than one tRNA (with a specific anti-codon) for a particular amino acid; and 'wobble' base-pairing, i.e. permitting non-standard base-pairing at the 3rd anti-codon position. Lineage: Eukaryota; Metazoa; Chordata; Mammalia; Proboscidea; Elephantidae. The record is from Rfam by way of RNAcentral.